RNAcentral lists this ribosomal RNA (117 nucleotides) under Pteropus alecto (black flying fox). RNAcentral also lists the same sequence under 1 other name. Lineage: Eukaryota; Metazoa; Chordata; Mammalia; Chiroptera; Pteropodidae. The record is from RNAcentral.
UUCAUCCGCUGCUACCCUGAACAGGCCCGAUCCCUUCUGAUCUCGGAAGCUAAGUAGGGUUGGGCCUGGUUAGUACUUGGAUGGGAGACCACCUAGGAAGACCAGGUGCUGUAGGCG